AGAGAGACACAGAGAGACAGAGAAGCAGAGAGACACAGAGACAGAGAGAGACAGAGAAGCAGAGAGACACAGAGACAGAGAGAGACAGAGAAGCAGAGAGACAGAGACAGAGAGAGACAGAGAAUCAGAGAGACAGAGAGAGACAGAGAAGCAGAGAGACACAGAGACGGGGAGCCGUACACAGGGAGGGACAGCAUCUGGAGACAGGUGGAGGCACAGAGAGACUGAGAAUCUCAGAUGCAUGGAGACUGAGAGAGAAACGUGAGGAGGCAGGGGAGGAGACAGAGAAUCAGAGACGGAGAGACAAGGGGGCACACAGAGAGGUAGGGAAUCUGAGACACACGAGACACAGGGAGGUGUGGGAACUAGAGACAGGCUGAGAACAGGGAGAGACAGGAGAGUCAGAGACAGAGACGUUUAGAGAGAGACAAAGAUAAACCCAGAGCCCGAAACUGGGAGAGGACAAAGUCACAGAGGACAGAUGGACACGUUGGGGGCCAGAGAGGGUCAGACACACGCGGAGGACGCGGAGAGGCUUCAGAGAGCCCCCCGGAGAGAUGCGGGGGAGGGGGAGAAGAGGGGAGCGGGGACCACGCUGGAGGGAAUGGGGGGGGAUUGAGGAGGAGGAGUCUGGGAAGAACUGAGGGAGGGGCUGGGGAGACUGUGAAGGAGACACCGGGGUGAAGGGCGGAGAUGGGGUCAGCCUGCUUCAUUUCCGGUCUCCCGGCAAGAUCCGGGACAGCAGGCCCCUCCCUGUCGGUCCCCCUAUUGUGACUACGGGGACAGAGGACAUCCGGCCGUGGCAAGGUUAUGUAACCAGAUAUCCACCUGAUGGAUGGACCUGAAGACUGAAAGGAGCUCGAUUCCAGUCACAGACAUCGUCCUGAUCCAGGACAAACCCUUUCACGAUCGGACUUCGGAAUGACUCCUGACUGAGCUAGCUCUGGAUUCAUGAAGGCUUUGAGCCCUGGUCCAAGUCCACAUUCACCCUUGUCUGUGGCUCCAGGCUGAAUCAUUCCCUCAAUGAGCCCCACGUCUUAUUUUAAACUGACCUUGGCCUUGGCCCUACUGUGAACUCUGACCUCUGACCUUGGCCCUAUUCUCUGUCCUGCUUCAUCUCUGACUUUGACAUCACACUGAACUGAUCUGUCUGAGCUCAACUUGGAUCCUGGCCCAGUCCCUGGGAGCCUCCAUCCUGGCCCUCGAGGCUGCCCUUUCUGAGCCUUAUUUGCAGCCCUGGCUGAGUCCUGAGCCGAACCAACUCAAAUCCCACCCUCGGUAUCAGGAUGAUCCUCGCCCUGCAGUCCUAAGACUCCAGACCAUACCCCAGGACCGACUUAGACUCAGCUCUGAUUCCAGAGCCAGCACUUCAGCCCCCUGAGUGAUCGUGAGCACAUGAUGUCUGCAGACGUGUCUCUGCAAAUCACCAUCUUACAACAAGCUGGGGGGAGUGGGAGCGCGAGAACUGCCAGACAGCGGGACAUACGGCUGCGUGGAGGGAGAGACCCUCAGAUCAGCCUUGAACAUCCCAGGACACUUUAAAACUGCAGUCAGGGCUGCUGCUGGGGGAGGGGGGGUCAGGAUCGACCUCCCCUGUGCUGUGGCCGAAAGCUCCGACAGGAGUGGGAGCAAGCUGCUUUCCUUUUAAACUAAUUAUUCUUGGGAAAUGGGCCUUAAACUUAGUUGUCCUCAUGAUGCAGAAACAAUCCCGAGCCUUCCAGCACCUUCUUAAAGUCAGUACCCUGGAACAAAGCCCCAACCAUCCCAUCCUAGUUACAGUUCUGCCUAACACCAUCUCCAGACUGAGCCUGGCUCCCAGCCUGAACUUAUCCCUCACCCUGAUUUUUCUUCUUCUUCUUUUUUUGCUGAGGCACUUGGGGGUUAAGUGACUUGUCCAGGGUCACACAGCCAGGAAGUGUUAAGUGUCUGAGGGCAGAUUUGAACUCAGAUCCUCCUGACUUCAGGACUGGUGCUCCAUCCACUGUACCACCUAGUUGCCCUACCCUGAUUUUUCAAAUUAAACCGCUCCCAGCUCUAGAUGGAACCUAACUCCAGCUCUGAAUGGAAACCUGGCCUUGGCUACAGACAAGGUUUUUUCUUUUCCUCUGAUUGCCAAGAAUUUUUUUUUCCUCUUACUUCCCCAUCCCUAAAAAAAAAAAGGAAAGAAACUUUUGUAACAAAUUUGCAUAAUCAAAAUAAAUUCCUAUAUUAACUAUGUCCAAAAAAGUCUCAUUCUUUUUUUUAAACAUUUUUCUUUAAAAAAAAGAAUAAGAAAAAAAGAAAAACAAAAGGAAUACAAAACAAAAUAAAAUAAAACAAAAGAGAUGAUUGUCUCGUGCCUUGCAGAUCAUCAAGGAGGAUUCAAAUUAUAUAACAACAACUUACCAGUUCAAGAAAGUAUAUAUAUUAGUAGAAGAAAUUCUAUUCACGAGGGCCCAUCUUUUUUUAUUAUUUCCUUGUAAAUUACUCUUUUGUUCUCCGCUGUGUACCUUUUUUUAUUUUAUUCUUUUCCCCUCUUUUUAACUCCCUCACCCCCAAGAAGAUUAUAAAAAAAAGUCUCAUUCUGCACAUUUGCCCAUCACCUCUCUGUCUCCGGGCAGGUGACGUCCUUCCUCUGGAAUCACAGUUGGCCGUUGUGCCCAAGUCUUUUCAAGUAGAUUUUCUUUAGGAUGUUGUUGUCUUUGUCUAAAAUAGCUCUCCUCGAUUCACCUUGCAUCAUCCCAUGUACAUUUUCCUCGGUUUUUCCAAAACCAUCCCCUUCACCAUCCCUUACCACACAAUAGUAUUCCAUCACCUUCAUGUGCCGUAACUUGUUGAGCCGUUCCCUAAUUGGUGGGCGUGAAGUAGAAUCUUCCAGUCUCAGUGCCUCAAUCUUGAGCCUUGGGACUAAAAGAAUUGCUUUUUUUUUUCCCCCUUUCUUUUUCCAUUAACAAAGAUUCUCAUUACAUUUUAUUUUAGUUUCAAGGAUACAGACAAGAAACGAGUUUCACGGUUAUAUAAUAAUAACAACAAUAAUAAUAAUAAAUAUAUAUAUAUAUGAAAAAUAAUGGAUGGCCGUAGUUAGGUUGUGGACAUGUUCCAGGGUGCCACGAGCUAAUUAGUUUACUAGCUCCAUUUACCAUUCAAAUGUUCUUUUAUAUUCCUCCUACUUGGAACAUGACUGCCGUGUCUGUCCGUGUUUACAAGAUAUUUAAACCUUAAAACACUAGGGAAGUCGGGUAGAACAACACAAAGGUUUUCUGACAUAUUUAAAGACUAUUAAGUGAAGAUAAUUUUUAAAAAAUGGCUGUUUUGGUGUUUCCUGUCAGGUUUAGUUUUGACUGGGCCUCGGACUGGGCCCUGACACGUUCCCUGACUUUCCAAAAAAGAUCCAUUCCAAAAGGCUGAUCUUUGUCCCUGGCCCCGGUCUAGGAAUUAACUCCAGCUCAGGAAUGGAUUCUGUUUCUCUAAACUGAAACAUGACACAGUAAACCUUCACCACAGCCCUGGACUGGGGUGGAAAACACGGUCAAGAUCCUAAUAAUAGGAUUUGAACCCAGAUCUCUUCUCAUUCUGUCUAGAAGUGUUCUUCCCAUUGUAUCUGGUGAGUUCCCAAUCCUCGGUAAAUCCUAGCUCCAGAAGGAGUCGUCUGUUUUCAGAGGAAAGCCUGGGAUCCCAACUAUAGACUGAGCCUCAGCCUGGACUGAUACCUGAUGAUCUGUGAUCUUCAACCUUGACCAAAUGCUUGUGACCUUGUGACCCUUGACCCUGGUUCCAGACAGACCCCUGAAUAUGUUCUGAAAUUAGUCCUGUACGACCCCAAACUGAACGACGUGACCUCAAGCCUAGACCAGGGCUCCAGACUGAGCUCUGUUGUCAGACAGCCAGGAGCAUGGCCUAAAAACCAGCCUGAGCCCUGUUCCCGGCUGGAGACAGCACCUGAUUGGACACAAUAAAAACUUUAAACUCUUUAAAGUCUUUUAAAACUUUAAACUUUAAGGCCUUUAAACUCAGCAUCUCAUUGGGAAAUGGAGCCCUUCCCCAGAUAGAGUUCUGACACUAGAUUAAGAUUAAGACCCCAGACUCCACCCUAACCCUAGAGCCAGAGUCAUCAUUCUGGCACAUGGAUUAAAAAAAGACCCCGCUUGCUUAAGUAGGAAAUGUGCUCAAAAAUCAAUCUCAAGUUCAUUGUCUUCUUAAAUUCUCUUAAAUGUCUCCGAGACAUCUGGAAACACGGGGCCAGAGUGGAAGAAGAGUCCCCAGGAUAAAAGCCUUGAACACCAAAGGUCAGUGAGAAGUCACCAGCAAAGGGAAGCCAGGCUGGAGAGAGAGUGCCAGAGGGUGGAGUAUGGUUAGAAACGGCUCACUAGUUUAAUUAAUUAGCCUUGCUAAUCAGGCAGUAAACUCUGGUUUCUCAGAUACUGAAGAAACAUAAUUGCUUUCAGUGUCUUAAUAUGGUGGCCCUUUGGCAAAGGCCCAGUCACCCUACCUUAGUUACACCUCUUUUUCACCUCAGCCCUACGUGGCCUUGACCUUGGUCAAUUGAAAUCUCAUUUGAGCCCUGACACUGGUCCUUCACUGAGUUCUGAUAUCAAGUGUAAACUGAGCUGCUGGGACCGGAUUGAGCCCUGAGCCUGGUUCUAGGAUAACCUGGACUCCUGUUCCAAAUACAUCCCGGAGCUUAGUACCGGUACCUUGGGCCCCGGAAUGAGUUAUAAGAUCAAGUUUAAGGCCCUGGUUCUCAGCUUUGAUCCGGAGUGAAUUCUGAACUCAUAGCAAGAGCCAAUCAUGUGACAAAGUAAAGAAAACAUAGCCAAAAAUUAAUUUGCAGCAAAUUCAGGUGGGAGAUGGAAAGGAUGGUGUGGCAGGGAUCCUUGGGGAGGGGAGGGGAGGGGAAGGCAGGGCAGGGGAGGGAGAGGAGGCAGGGCAGAGCAGUGAGAAGCUCACCCCAAGGUGAGGUACCAGGAGGAGGUGGGAGUGGGAGGAAGCAGUUUCCAAUUUUAGCUAAUUAUCAUUGGUCAUUAGUGUGGAGCUAGUUGAUGCAAUAGUGGCUGAAGACGCCUUCGGGCAAAGCCCAGGACUAAGAACCUUAAUCCAGAUGGGGUAUUUGGGGCGGAUCCAGGCUCUGGCUCUAGACUAUUUCCUGACACCAGACAGAACUGGAAUAUUGGAAGCUCACCCUCAUCCUCACCCUUGCUUCAUCAGGGACCUAAAGCAGGAGGACCUUGAACAUGGCAGAAGACCCAGCCCUUCUCAGACUGCUCUGGAUCUCAUCUUCCCCUUCUGACUUCCUUAGGACUGCUGACUCUCUCUUAUCCCCAAAUAGCCUCGAGUCUCCAAGGCGGCUGGUCUCUGCUUUGGUAACUCUACACAGACACUCCCUUCUCUCCUCUGACAGGGCCCUCAGCUGCUCCACCGGACACUGAACAACACCUCCCGCCGGGGCUACUGUCCGCAAUGGCCGCUUUAACUUCCUCGCCUCAAGUCUCUCCCCACAACGCUCCAUCUUCCUCUCGGGCAUCAGUCUUCCUGAUUAAUUCUGCUCUAAGCCCAGUUCUUUCUCUAAGCGAGUCCAAGGGCUGCCAGUGUUGUCUAAAUCCGAGGGACCCCAGCCAAAGCCCACUUACUCUGUGCUUCCAGCCUUGACCCUGGCCCUAUACUAAGCCUUGAUCUCACUUCUACACCGAGUUCUGAGACUGGCCUCCACCUGAUGGUUGACCCCUUGGGCUCAAGCCCAAGCUCUAAGCCCAGGCCCGGAACAAGCGAGCCUUGAGUUGUGCUCCAGACUUGGACCUGACCCCAGCAUCCCAUCAAAACUCAGGGCCCAGGCCUAGAACCUUAAAUCGGGGCCAAGACUAGCCUGGAGCUUGACCACAGGCUGACCCUUAGCCCAGACCCUGUUCUGUAACUUCAGGCCCAAAUGAAGCCUUGAUCCCACAGGCCCUGGGUUAUGGCCUGCGCCCAGCUAUGGAAGGAACUCCUAAACCUCCAUUUAAUAAACAUUUCCCUUAUAAAGUGCCUGCUCCAUCCCUGGCCUUGGGCUGGAUGCAGGACAAGGCGCCUCCUGUUCCUGUCUGAGGUGGGGCUCAGACUUGGCCCUGGCUGCCGAUGAAGCCUUGAAUCUGGCCUCGGCCCUUCACAUGGCACCAAACUGGGUCUUGAUUGACUCCAGAUUGAGUCCUAGGAUCAGACCUUGGAGUAUGACCCCAGUCCCAGAAUAACCCUUUGAGAAUGGGUCCAAACCCCCUCUGACUGAGUCCAGGAUCCUCCCCCCACCAUCUCCUCUGCUCUUCUAGACUGGUGUCCUCCCAUAUAUACACACACCGGACUCAGCCCGAAAUAUCCUCCCAUCUCUCGUCCCUCAUCUUUCUUCAAAUGUCUUUUUUUCCUUUCUGGUUCUACAUGCAUGCUAACUUUUUAAAUACAUAUUUCUUUAUGAAUCAUAUUGAGAGGGAAAAAUCAGAGCAAAAGGGAAAACCAUGAGAGGAAAAAAACCAGAAAAGCAGCAAAAAAGUGGACAUAGCAUGUGCUGAUUUACAUUCAGUCUCCACAGUUCUCUCUGGAUGCAGACGGUGUUUUCUAUCCAAAGGUUACUGGGAUUGCCUUGGACCACUGGACCGCUGAGAAGAGCCGGAUCUUUCAUAGUGGAGCAUCACUCUCCAACAUGUCCUGAGGGGCUUCUUAAAAGUCCUCCAGGGAAGUCUUUGGAUUGUACCCCAAACAAAGGCCCUCUCCUUCCUGAACUCCCAAGAUAAACCCUUUCCUCGA
Antechinus flavipes (yellow-footed antechinus) is the source of this 6747-nucleotide long non-coding RNA. RefSeq lists it as uncharacterized. The record is from RefSeq and is a predicted model, not a curated record. The transcript is spliced from 2 exons. Lineage: Eukaryota; Metazoa; Chordata; Mammalia; Dasyuromorphia; Dasyuridae.